This 200-nucleotide ribosomal RNA is filed under the name uncultured bacterium. Its description in RNAcentral is "partial 16S ribosomal RNA". It matches the Rfam family "Bacterial small subunit ribosomal RNA", at positions 1301 to 1500 of the family's 1533-position model. The record is from RNAcentral.
CAGUCUGCAACUCGACUGCACGAAGUCGGAAUUGCUAGUAAUCGCGGAUCAGCAUGCCGCGGUGAAUACGUUCCCGGGCCUUGUACACACCGCCCGUCACACCAUGAGAGUCGGGAACACCCGAAGUCCGUAGUCUAACCGCAAGGAGGACGCGGCCGAAGGUGGGCUUGAUAAUUGGGGUGAAGUCGUAACAAGGUACC